UCACUCCACUCCCAGCGGUACGUCGCAUCAUGAAUGUGUUGGGAUAAAAGGCUUCAACUGGGGAUUUAAACUGAUGUCUACUGUCUAGACGAGUACACAGGGAGCGAUGAAUUAAAUGCAUAGCUAUAUAUAGUCGACCGCUAUUCUUGGACUCUGUACUUGUAGCGUAUUGCUGGAUUUUGUUUUGUAAUAUUUUCUGUUCAUAGACAAUCAUGAAGCUAGCGUAGACUGUUAGCUGCGAGAAUUCAGAAGCCAAAUCCUACAAGAGUCACACCCUAAUAUUCAAUAUCCUCGCGCCGGCCACGCGACUGCGGGUACAGAUGCCCGACCCGGGAGUUCGGGAGUAUAGCUAGAUAAUUUCUUAUAACGAUAUUGUUUUUAUUUGUGCGAAACAACUCAGAAGGGAGGUCAUGUAUGUCCGGUUUCAGUCUACUUUGUUGGGAGACAGAUAACGUUAGUCGGCUAGCUAGUGUGUGUGAUAGUCAGCAGAAGACAGGAAUAUGAGUUCACCAAUGUACACGUUUGUUUUGAGAGAUGACAACAGUACUGUGUAUGCUGAGGUCGCCAGGAUCCUCAGCUCCACUGGAAAAUGGAAACGACUGAAGAAGGACAAUCCUCGGUUUAAUUUAAUGCUGGGAGAGAGAAAUCGGCUGCCUUUUGGACGACUGGGUCAUGAACCAGGACUGAUGCAGCUGGUGAAUUAUUUCAGAGGAGCCGAUAAACUCUGUCGCAAAGCAUCACUGGUCAAGAUUAUCAAGACCAGUCCAGAGUUAAAGGACUCCUGUAACUGGUUCCCUGAGUCUUACAUCAUAUACCCAACCAACCUCAACACCCCAGUGGCCCCGGCCACCAAUGGCAUCAGCCACAUGAAGAGCAACCCAAAGACAGAUGAGCGAGAGGUCUUUUUAGCUUCAUAUAACUCCAGAAAAGAAAGCGGAGAGGGAACGGUGUGGAUCGCCAAAUCAUCGGCGGGUGCAAAAGGUGCAGGUAUAUUGAUAUCUCAUGAUGCAAACCAGUUGCUUGAGUUCAUCGAUAAUCAAGGCCAAGUGCAUGUCAUUCAGAAGUAUCUGGAAAAACCUCUGCUGCUGGAGCCGGGACAUCGCAAAUUUGAUAUAAGGAGUUGGGUGCUUGUAGACCAUCAGUACAAUAUCUACUUGUACCGUGAGGGUGUGUUGAGGACAUCUUCUGAGCCCUACAACAGCUCAGAUCUCCAGGAUAUGACCAGUCACCUGACGAAUCACUGCAUCCAGAAAGAGCAUUCGCAGAACUACGGCCGCUAUGAGGAGGGCAACGAGAUGUUCUUUGAUGAGUUCAGACAGUACCUGUUGACCACACACAAUCUUGCCAUGGAAACAUCUAUUUUACCUCAGAUCAAGCAUAUUAUCAGGAGCUGUCUCGCAUGCAUCGAGCCAGCCAUCAGCACAAAGCAUCUGUCCUACCAGAGCUUCCAGCUCUUUGGCUUUGACUUCAUGCUGGACGAGAGCUUCAAAGUCUGGCUAAUUGAGAUAAAUGGGGCGCCUGCUUGUGCACAGAAACUCUACACUGAGCUAUGUCAAGGCAUCGUGGAUGUGGCCAUCUCCACAGUGUUCUCUCUAAACGCAGAUGCGCUCUCAUCCUCGCCUCCGUUCUCCACUUCUCCAUCUCUUUCUUCCAACUCCUGCUCCUCACCCAAGAUCAGAGCGCCCCAUCAGUUCGGCCCAUUCAUCAAACUAUAAAUUGCUGUUGCAGGAUGCUGAUGUUGCCAUGCAAACCCCGUCCCUAUAGUCCUGCCCGAAAACAACAUCAACCAAUCUGAGAGGCUUAAGGGUCUACACCUGAUCUUGGGGUUGAACAUACAGGGGUUUCUGAAGGAUCUCUGUCUGAAGAGGACAGAAGGUACAUGGGGUCACCUCUGUAACUCUUACCGUUUCCAUCCAUCAUUUCUAAAGCAAACGCAGAAGAGUCCACAGAAAUACAGAGAGCAUGAGUUUCCAAAGUAAAGACUGGAAGAUAUGACUGAGUUCCUGUGAGCGGUGUGGUUCAUUAACAGCAGGCUCUGAGGGAUUGAUCUGUACACUGUCAUGAUGUAGAUCACACACAGGCAAGUUGAUGUGGAAGAAGAAAGCAGCAAUUUAGGGUUUGAAUGUGUGAUAUUCUGAUAUCAGUAUUUAUGUUGUUUGGCAGAAGAGGAAGGACGUGAAAAGGAGUUUAAACAGUAUUGCAUCUCUUUGAAUUUAAAAGGAAAAGUAUUGAAGGAAAGCCAUUUUUUUUAAACAUUGUGGUCAUCAAUCCUACUACUAAGAGCAGUUAUCUAAGUUUUAUUAUGCAUCUUUGCGGUGCUUGUCUUAUUUGUAGUGCGUCUUUUUACUUUUUUUUUGUUUUUUUUAAGAAAACUGAAGGCAGUUGUAUGUAGCCUGUAUGAGGGAAAACAUCAUUAGCCAAAGAUCAGUGUGAUGAAAUAUCUUCACAGCUGUUCAGAAUAUGACUGUCGAAUGAACAUCAUGGUUUAAGUUGUGAAAUGUGGGAAUGCUGUUGUAAUUGUUUUCCUCCUGUACCCGAGGAAAGAUCAAUGCAAUGUAUGUUAGUAUUAGUCUAGUUUGCUGUAUUUGUUACUGUUGUUUAGACCAUUUGAAAAUAACAAAAUAUACUUUUACUAUGUUGGAUAGGUAAAAGCCUGAAAAGUAUUUAAGUUGUUCAAAUAAAAGCAUCCAUCCUGUGCAAUAAA
Molecule: RNA transcript, 2704 nt
Organism: Rhinichthys klamathensis goyatoka
Lineage: Eukaryota; Metazoa; Chordata; Actinopteri; Cypriniformes; Leuciscidae
Gene: ttl
Gene name: tubulin tyrosine ligase
Exons: 8
Source: RefSeq, a predicted model, not a curated record